This 72-nucleotide transfer RNA is filed under the name Ixodes scapularis (black-legged tick). RNAcentral's name for it is "tRNA-Tyr". It matches the Rfam family "tRNA". Rfam says of the family: Transfer RNA (tRNA) molecules are approximately 80 nucleotides in length. Their secondary structure includes four short double-helical elements and three loops (D, anti-codon, and T loops). Further hydrogen bonds mediate the characteristic L-shaped molecular structure. tRNAs have two regions of fundamental functional importance: the anti-codon, which is responsible for specific mRNA codon recognition, and the 3' end, to which the tRNAs corresponding amino acid is attached (by aminoacyl-tRNA synthetases). tRNAs cope with the degeneracy of the genetic code in two manners: having more than one tRNA (with a specific anti-codon) for a particular amino acid; and 'wobble' base-pairing, i.e. permitting non-standard base-pairing at the 3rd anti-codon position. Lineage: Eukaryota; Metazoa; Arthropoda; Arachnida; Ixodida; Ixodidae. The record is from RNAcentral.
AGGGGUAUAGCUCAGGGGUAGAGCAUUCGACUGUAGAUCGAGAGGUCCCCGGUUCAAAUCCGGGUGCCCCCU